AGGCCUGGCCUCUGCUGCAGUUCCGCCGCCGCUGCGCGGGUGGAGAAGGUUCCCGGCUCUGGUGGUUUUUGUUUCUCUUGGAUCCACGCCAUCUCCCAGCAUCCGCGGACAUCCGCACCUUCCCGCACUGUCUGCUGUGUCUCCGCCUCUGUCCCGCGCCAUCUCUCACGGCGCCCCGGGACAGGCUUCAGUGACUAGCAGUGACCAAGCAUGAGGCCGUCUGAGGAUGGAGGGAGUCAGGCUGUAGUGCGUUCAUUGCCUGAGACCCGAAUCCCCCCAGCACACGCGCCGUGUUUUCCUGUCGAUGAGCAUGAUGGUGUCCUGCCAGCUGGGCAGAUCCCUGGACGGCUUCUUGUCCCCUGCAGGAGUGUCACGUGGCUCUUGUUGCAUGAGACGCGUCGUCAGGGAGAGUGGGACUGAGUCCCGGAUGACCUGCAGACCCCUUCCUAGGGCCAAAUCGUCCUUGUUCCUGAUACCGUAGUGUGGCCGUUCAGGUCCUGCAGUAACAGCCUGCCUUCGUGGGUGCUAGAAACUGCCAGCUGCUGUGCCAAGUGUUCCGUGUGUCCCCCAGGGCCUGCUGUGAGUGCCCGUUCACCGAUUUUCCUUUGCAGCUGGGUCUGUGUGCGCAGAGGCUCCACAGGAGGUGUCAUCUUCGUGUCAGCCAGGCGCUAGGCCCUGGGGCCCCAGGAGGCGCCAGUAGUGUCGAAAAUGUGGAGAAAGAAAAAUAAAGGUGGGCCAGAUGUAGGAGCAAAGAGGGGUUCCACCAAUUCUGAAUCAUUCAGGAAGGUUCCAUUCGUCACGGUCUGCCAGAAGCCCGAGGAGUUUUCUUGUCAGUCACUGGAUGUUGUGUGGCAGGAGGAGUCCCCAGCCAUGUAGUCAGCCGUCAGCAGGGGCUGCCCUUCUGCCUUUCUGCACUGCAGAUGUGUUGGGUGGAGGCCGCAACCCUGCACCGGCGCCUUCACUUAGUAGACUCCGCAGGGGCAACAUGGUGCUCCCAAGAGGCGUGUCUGGCUCCCAGACAACAGGUCAGCAUUAGAUCUGGAGAUCGUUGAGGAAGUCCCAAGGCCAUGAGUCAGUGACUUUGGGGUGACUUGGGAUCUGGCAUUGCUGGUAUUUCUCCCCAAGAUUCCUUUUGUUCGUGGACACCAGCGGGGCAGAGAAUGGAGAGUGCAGUCCACACAUGAAGAGCUCCCCGCCGCCUGCUCGGAGUGUCAUGGGAGAACUGUUCACUCAGCACGAGAAAUCAGGGCAAAGCGCUGGGACUGGGGGCUUGGGGUCCCCUUCAGCUGGCUCUGAGUCCCGACAGCAGUGCCCUUGGACGCCGUGGACAGGGAAGGCCGGCCCCCGUCCCUCUGCCAUGCCUGCGUGACUUCAGUGACCAAGAGUUUUUCUCUUGAGUUGGCAGCUGCUCAUCAUCAUCACUUUUCUCUCCACCCAUCCAUUCAAUAAACCGUAUGCACCCAC
This is a long non-coding RNA of Eubalaena glacialis (North Atlantic right whale), 1464 nucleotides long. RefSeq lists it as uncharacterized. NCBI's taxonomy places the organism in Eukaryota, Metazoa, Chordata, Mammalia, Artiodactyla, Balaenidae. The record is from RefSeq and is a predicted model, not a curated record. The transcript has 7 exons.